This 71-nucleotide transfer RNA is filed under the name Phytophthora infestans T30-4. It matches the Rfam family "tRNA". From Rfam's summary of the family: Transfer RNA (tRNA) molecules are approximately 80 nucleotides in length. Their secondary structure includes four short double-helical elements and three loops (D, anti-codon, and T loops). Further hydrogen bonds mediate the characteristic L-shaped molecular structure. tRNAs have two regions of fundamental functional importance: the anti-codon, which is responsible for specific mRNA codon recognition, and the 3' end, to which the tRNAs corresponding amino acid is attached (by aminoacyl-tRNA synthetases). tRNAs cope with the degeneracy of the genetic code in two manners: having more than one tRNA (with a specific anti-codon) for a particular amino acid; and 'wobble' base-pairing, i.e. permitting non-standard base-pairing at the 3rd anti-codon position. The record is from Rfam by way of RNAcentral. Lineage: Eukaryota; Oomycota; Peronosporomycetes; Peronosporales; Peronosporaceae.
GAUGAUGUAGUUUAAUGGUAGAGCGUGGGAAUCAUAAUCCUAAUGUUGUAGGUUCAAAUCCCUACCCAUCA